Molecule: ribosomal RNA, 453 nt
Filed under: uncultured bacterium
Lineage: Bacteria
Description: bacterial SSU rRNA
Rfam family: Bacterial small subunit ribosomal RNA
Source: RNAcentral
CUCCAGACUCCUACGGGAGGCAGCAGUGGGGAAUAUUGGGCAAUGGAGGAAACUCUUACCCAGCAAUGCCGCGUGAAUGAAGAAGGUCUUCGGAUUGUAAAGUUCUUUAAUUGGGGACGAAAAAAAUGACGGUACCCAAGGAAUAAGCCCCGGCUAACUACGUGCCAGCAGCCGCGGUAAUACGUAGGGGGCAAGCGUUGUUCGGAAUGACUGGGCGUAAAGGGUGCGUAGGCGGUGUAGCAAGUUAGAAGUGAAAUACCUAGAGCUUAACUCAGGUGCUGCUUCUAAAACUGCUAUACUUGAGUGCAGUAGAGGAAAGUGGAAUUCCUAGUGUAGCGGUGGAAUGCGUAGAUAUAUGGAGGAACACCGGUGGCGAAAGCGGCUCUCUGGCCUGUAACUGACACUGAGGCUCGAAAGCGUGGGGAGCAAACAGGAUUAGAUACCCGAGUAGAC